AACGAGGCCGACCUGCGGCUGAGUUACCUGCGGAGGGAUCAUUACCGAGUGCGGGCUUACCCCCCCCGGGGGGCGCCCAACCUCCCACCCGUGUCUACCUGACCCUGUUGCUUCGGCGCGGCCACCGCCCGCCGGAGGCCCCUACCACGAACUCUUGUCUGAGCGUGAUGCAGUCUGAGUAUGGAUUUUGAAUCAGUCAAAACUUUCAGCAAUGGAUCU
Molecule: unclassified non-coding RNA, 219 nt
Filed under: soil metagenome
Description: partial contains 5.8S ribosomal RNA, internal transcribed spacer 2, and large subunit ribosomal RNA
Source: RNAcentral